GAACGCAUCUUGCACCCUUGGGUAUUCCUGAGGGUACGUCUGUUUCAGUAUCAUUUAAACCUCUCCUCGAUCAAUUAUGAUUGAUGGGAAAUAUUACUACUGGCUGCAAGUCCAACCUGGGCUUUACGGCUUAAAAAUUGCUCGGUUUUUCAUUUUUUGACUGACUAUUACCCUUUGGUAGAAACUCUACUAUAAGCAUACCUAGUCACAUCAUCUAGUCUAACCCACCACUUUUUUACACUUGAUCUGAAAUCAGAUGGGAUUACCCGCUGAACUUAAG
This 280-nucleotide unclassified non-coding RNA is filed under the name Absidia spinosa. Its description in RNAcentral is "sequence contains 5.8S rRNA gene". Lineage: Eukaryota; Fungi; Mucoromycota; Mucoromycetes; Mucorales; Cunninghamellaceae. The record is from RNAcentral.